AGAGGGGGAUACCAGUUGGAAACGACUGUUAAUACCGCAUAAUGUCUACGGACCAAAGUNUGGGACCUUGGGCCACAUGCUGUCGGAUGCGCCUACGUGGGAUUAGCUAGUUGGUGAGGUAAUGGCUCACCAAGGCGACGAUCCCUAGCUGGUUUGAGAGGAUGAUCAGCCACACUGGAACUGAGACACGGUCCAGACUCCUACGGGAGGCAGCAGUGGGGAAUAUUGGACAAUGGGCGCAAGCCUGAUCCAGCCAUGCCGCGUGUGUGAAGAAGGCCUUCGGGUUGUAAAGCACUUUCAGCGAGGAGGAAGAGUUGUGUGUUAAUAGUACACAGCUUUGACGUUACUCGCAGAAGAAGCACCGGCUAACUCUGUG
Molecule: ribosomal RNA, 376 nt
Filed under: uncultured bacterium
Lineage: Bacteria
Description: bacterial SSU rRNA
Rfam family: Bacterial small subunit ribosomal RNA
Source: RNAcentral